Long non-coding RNA from Myodes glareolus (Bank vole), 2735 nucleotides. RefSeq lists it as uncharacterized. The record is from RefSeq and is a predicted model, not a curated record. NCBI's taxonomy places the organism in Eukaryota, Metazoa, Chordata, Mammalia, Rodentia, Cricetidae.
AACUGAACUACAAAGUUAGUGGAGUCCCCUCCCCCCCCCCGCCUCCCCCUGACCCAAGCGCACCGCCUCUCACCGCCUCCCGCUCCAGCGACAGGAACCCUGCCAAGGAAGAGGGAAAGGAUUAGGAUUUCCCCAGAUGGAGCCACGGAGUUCUGGAGGAGGGGGGUUUUGUUUCUGAGUCAGCAGUGAGCCCACAGGAGAGACCCUGCCUGACGCCUCUCCCCACUCACCAACUUUGGGAUUUGGCCCUGUGGCUUGGGUCUUCCUAAGCUGCCAGCACACACAGCAAGAUGUGCUUCCAAUCUCCUUCACCCACCUCCUUCAUCGCCAACAUCCUAUCGUGCUUAGACUGAGGUGGAGGGCAUAAUAUAUGCAAAGGCUCACACCAUAGACUGGGAUAAGGAGACCAGGCCAUCUUCUAGAAGGAUUGCUGAGGUGCACCCUCAGCAAGAGACACAGUUACCAGGAGCACAGAUGGUGGACUUCCUCAUGAUUUCUGGCAAGAGCACAGCCCAUGAACACGGCCCUCAGCUGCAAUGGGGCCACAGACCUAGACAAGGUCAUUGAAGGCAGCCUGGACCGUGGACAUCAACACAGACCCUGACUGGAAUAGGACCUUGAACCCAGACAUGGCCCUCAGUGGCAGCAAGGCCCAUGACAUUAGCAUGGCUUCAGUCUGUGGCACAGACUGUGAAUAUCCACUUGGAUGUUGAUUUUCUUCACAGCCUGGGGUAGUAGCAUAGGCCACAGACACCAACGUGGCCUCCCGUGGCAUCACUGACCAUGGUGGUCCUUCUAGGAGGUCUGAUCCGGAAAGUGGACCGUUCCACAUCUCAGGUCUCCACUGUUGUCCAGAGCCAGGACAGUCCUGCUGGCAGCGUAUUCAAUCUGCCUAAGCGUCAAGCUGCUGCACACAACUGGUUCACUAACCCUGCAUGCUCGACUUCAGCCCUCUCUUACACCUGUCACUGACUGCUAGUCUCCUGCCCUGCCUUUCCCCACACACACAUCACUUCUUCUCUCUAUCUUUCCCACCUCUCAUUGCAUAUUUGUUCAGCAUAGUGAUACCCACCUAGGGAGGUAGAGCAGUCAGUAGCAUUUGUUUUUGCUUGCCUGUUUUCUUUUCUAUUUUAACAGUAGCCAUUGUGACAGAGGUGUGAUGAUCUCAGUGUCAUUUUGAUUUGUAUUUUCUUGCUAGCUAAAGAUGUGGCCAGUUUUAUUUGUUUGUCUGUUUGUUUUCAUUUGUUUUGUUGCAAAUUUUACUUUCUCUUUGAUAAACUGCCUUGUGGUUUCCUUUACACUUUUACUGAUUGAAUCAUUUUAGUGUUUAAUUUCUUGAGUUCUUUGUAUCCUAUAGAUGUCCAUUCUCUGUCAGAUAUAUAGCUAAAGAAGAUUUUCUGCCUUUCUCUGGUCUUUACUCUGUGCUGUGUAAAACAACAGAACAUAAUUUCAUAGAAUUCUUUUUGUCAACUUUUGAAAUCUCCUGAGUUAUUGGAGAUUCCUUUUAAAAGAAAUUAUUGCCUAUGACUAUAUCUUGAAAUGUUUUCCCCUAUAUAGAUUCAGAGAGGUUUUGGGGGGAAGUGAGGUCUAGGAAUCACUUUGAAUAGAUUAUUGAAUCAUGUGAAAAGUAAAGAUUUCUCAGAAAGAUGAGCCACAGGAAGCAAAUUAAAGGGAAAUAAUAAAAGAAGUCUGACUGUUUCUGUUGGUUUUAGGCAGCACCAUUGGAACAGAAUAAGGUUUUCUCACUAUGUAUCAGAAUUAUAAGAUCAGUGUUUGCCACCUAACGCUUGAAUUCUCAGUGACCUUUGAAAAGUUUACUCUUUCUUUUUUGCUGUUUUCUAAUUAUACUCAGUAAGUUUGUAUUGCUAUGAUUCUUUUCUGUAUUUUUAAAACUAAGUACAUAGAUUUUUAUAUAUCAAUAAACAACUUAACCUUGCAUAUAUCCACUAAAGGGGGAAAUUAUUUUAGGAAUCAGCAUAUUAGGAGUAAGGGAGACUAGAAGGAAAGAUGUUAAAGUACAAAAGUGGCUGGUGUUGUUUAAAAGGUUAACCUAUAUUUUACUUUUGCCUGUCUGUAUUUUCCAAAGUCUCUAUUGGUAGCAUGCAUGGUGUCCAUUAUUAGGGAAAAGGAUCCUGCAUUAGUUGCUCUUACAGUCUGUUAUAAAACCCAUGAUGAAGGCAGGUUAUGGGAGACAGAGGUUAGUUGGGCUUCAGGUUCCAGAAAGAUGAAUCCACCAUGAUGGGGAAGACUGCUGCCAGGAAAGAUGUAGCUUAGGACAAGAAGCUCAGUGUUCACAUGCAGAACUCCAGCCACAGAGCAGAGACAGCAACCUGGAAGUGAGGGAGCAUCUUAGCUCUGAAAAUAUACUCCUCCAGUGACAAACACACUGCCUCCAGCAAGACUACACACUGCCUAACCCUCCCCAAACAGCACCAGGAACCAGGAACCAGCCAAAUACAGAGGUCUGUGGGAGUCAUUCUCAUUCAAAGAGCUACAGAUCCGUAAUGGCGUUUUGAAGGGCUAUCCACAUCUCUAGUUCUCUGGUUCUGCUUUUUAGCAACUCACCGGUUCCUUUUGGCACCAAAGGAACGAGUUAAAAAAAUGGGCUGAGGUGCCAGGUCACAGAGUGUUUACUUGGUGUAUCUGAGGUUCCCUUUAGAUCAUCGCAUUGAAGAAAGGAGAAGGGAAGAAGCCCUCCAGUUUAGAAACAAGUAAAAAGCCUGAAGCUGUUACUA